GAUGAACGCUGGCGGCGUGCUUAACACAUGCAAGUCGAACGAAGCACUUUAUUUGAUUUCCUUCGGGACCGAUUAUUUUGUGACUGAGUGGCGGACGGGUGAGUAACGCGUGGGUAACCUGCCUUGUACAGGGGGAUAACAGUUGGAAACGGCUGCUAAUACCGCAUAAGCGCACAGCAUCGCAUGAUGCAGUGUGAAAAACUCCGGUGGUAUAAGAUGGACCCGCGUUGGAUUAGCUAGUUGGUGAGGUAACGGCCCACCAAGGCGACGAUCCAUAGCCGAACUGAGAGGGUGACCGGCCACAUUGGGACUGAGACACGGCCCAAACUCCUACGGGAGGCAGCAGUGGGGAAUAUUGCACAAUGGGCGAAAGCCUGAUGCAGCGACGCCGCGUGAGCGAAGAAGUAUUUCGGUAUGUAAAGCUCUAUCAGCAGGGAAGAUAAUGACGGUACCUGACUAAGAAGCACCGGCUAAAUACGUG
RNAcentral lists this ribosomal RNA (481 nucleotides) under uncultured bacterium. Its description in RNAcentral is "partial 16S ribosomal RNA". It matches the Rfam family "Bacterial small subunit ribosomal RNA", at positions 28 to 507 of the family's 1533-position model. The record is from RNAcentral.